Molecule: ribosomal RNA, 253 nt
Filed under: uncultured bacterium
Lineage: Bacteria
Description: partial 16S ribosomal RNA
Rfam family: Bacterial small subunit ribosomal RNA
Source: RNAcentral
UACAGAGGUCCCAAGCGUUGUUCGGAUUCAUUGGGCGUAAAGGGUGUGUAGGUGGCGCCGUAAGUCGGGUGUGAAAUCUCGGGGCUUAACUCCGAAACUGCAUUCGAUACUGCGGUGCUUGAGGACUGGAGAGGAGACUGGAAUUUACGGUGUAGCAGUGAAAUGCGUAGAGAUCGUAAGGAAGACCAGUGGCGAAGGCGGGUCUCUGGACAGUUCCUGACGCUGAGGCACGAAGGUCAGGGAAGCAAACGGG